UGGGCUGGUGUGUUCCUCCUAUUUCAGCUCUGUUUCCAGAAUCAGCAGCGGUAUUUAUUGCUUAUAUGUUUGGAUUACAUCUUAAUUUCAUGUUCUAAA
Molecule: long non-coding RNA, 99 nt
Organism: Thalassophryne amazonica
Lineage: Eukaryota; Metazoa; Chordata; Actinopteri; Batrachoidiformes; Batrachoididae
Exons: 3
Source: RefSeq, a predicted model, not a curated record